RNAcentral lists this ribosomal RNA (433 nucleotides) under uncultured bacterium. Its description in RNAcentral is "partial 16S ribosomal RNA". It matches the Rfam family "Bacterial small subunit ribosomal RNA", at positions 29 to 507 of the family's 1533-position model. The record is from RNAcentral.
AGCGAACGCUGGCGGCAGGCUUAACACAUGCAAGUCGAGCGGGCCCUUCGGGGUCAGCGGCAGACGGGUGAGUAACACGUGGGAACGUACCCUUUGGUUCGGAAUAACGCUGGGAAACUAGCGCUAAUACCGGAUACGCCCUUUUGGGGAAAGGCUUGCUGCCGAAGGAUCGGCCCGCGUCUGAUUAGCUAGUUGGUGGGGUAAUGGCCUAACAAGACGACGAUCAGUAGCUGGUCUGAGAGGAUGAUCAGACACACUGGGACUGAGACACGGCCCAGACUCCUACGGGAGGAAGAAGUAGGGAAUAUUAGACAAUGGGCGCAAGACUGAUCAAGCCAUGCCGCGUGAGUGAUGGAGGCAUUAGGGUUGUAAAGCUCUUUUGUCCGGGACGAUAAUGACGGUACCGGAAGAAUAAGCCCCGGCUAACUUCGUG